AUGUAAUGUGCCAGCGCCGCGGUAAUACGUAUGGUGCAAGCGUUAUCCGGAUUUACUGGGUGUAAAGGGUGCGUAGGUGGUGAGACAAGUCUGAAGUGAAAAUCCGGGGCUUAACCCCGGAACUGCUUUGGAAACUGCCUGACUAGAGUACAGGAGAGGUAAGUGGAAUUCCUAGUGUAGCGGUGAAAUGCGUAGAUAUUAGGAGGAACACCAGUGGCGAAGGCGACUUACUGGACUGCUACUGACACUGAGGCACGAAAGCGUGGGGAGCAAACAGG
This 278-nucleotide ribosomal RNA is filed under the name Coprococcus eutactus. Its description in RNAcentral is "partial 16S ribosomal RNA". It matches the Rfam family "Bacterial small subunit ribosomal RNA", at positions 499 to 776 of the family's 1533-position model. The record is from RNAcentral. Lineage: Bacteria; Bacillati; Bacillota; Clostridia; Lachnospirales; Lachnospiraceae.